This 2429-nucleotide long non-coding RNA is filed under the name Podarcis lilfordi (Lilford's wall lizard). The record is from RNAcentral. Lineage: Eukaryota; Metazoa; Chordata; Lepidosauria; Squamata; Lacertidae.
UUUUUUUUUAAUAUUAACCUUCUGUAUACUCAGGACACAAAGUUCCAGAAUAGCUGCACUGGAUACAAUUAUAGUAUUUCCAUCAUGAAAACACAAAGGUGCAAAUAUCAAAAGACAAAUUAAACAAGUGCAAAUGAAUGAAAGUGCAAAAAAGCUUCGGUUCCAUGAAAAUGCUUCUUCUGAAAACUCCGCCUCUGCCCUCUGCGAAAGCUGGUCCCUAAAACAAAGGGCAUUUGGGCAGGAUUUGUCACACCUACCUGACUUUUCCCUCCCUUCCCAUUUAGGGUGAACCCAACAGUCCCAGGGACCAUGGGGAAAGGAAGAAGAAAAGAUGGAGAUUGAUCAAGGGUUUUUGAAGACUUCCUGUCUUCCAUUGCACUCAAGCCCCAAAUAAGCCCUAAACAGUAAACCUGCCUUAUCAUUUUGAUUUGGACUUUUGCAUUUCAAAAGUGCUUGAAGUUGAUGUCGAAACUGGAUUUCUGGGGUGGGAAUAAUCAAGGGUAAUCAAGGGUGCAGAGGAAGGAAUGCACAUUCCUGUUCUGGCUGCGACUCAGCAACAGGAACAUCCAUCUUUGAGCAACAUUAUGUCAUUUCUGCAGCGUGAAAGGGAUCCUUAGCUGGCCCACACAUCUGCAAUGAGUACCGGAUCUCCUGAUAAAGAGUUCCUAAAGGAGUAUGAGUCUUGGGCUAGCAGUUAAGAAGGCCUUUUAAAGUGAAGAGUUUUCUAGGCAGUAAAUUCACAUUUGUUCCACACAGCCUACCCAGAUUUCAAGCUAACACAAUGACAUUUUCUGAGCAAUCAAACCAAACUAUUUUGUAGCGAAGAAGAAAAUGCAUCCCCCCCCCCCAGAUAAUACACUCACUGCUAGAGGUCCUGAUCCACUUAGGGAGAAAUUCAUGUGCAGCUGCACAAGGAACUGUGCAAGCAAAAGUUCUCUUGCUUUUUUUUGCUUGCUAGCCUGAUACUGCAGUGAGGGCUACUCAUGAAUAAACCCAAUCAGUAACUGAACUAUAGCACCAACCAGCUUGGGGCAGUAAACAUGGCACCUGUCAAAUCCUGCACUACAACUCACAUCAUCCCUUAUCAUUGGGCAAUGCUGUCUGGGGUGAUGGGAGUUGUAGUCCAACAAUAGAUAACUGUUUGCUGCAUAUAUACAUGACUGGAUUGUGGCAAUUGUGAGCAAUGAUACUGCUUGAGACUGGGGAUAGCUUGCAUCUUAAUUACAGAUGAGUAACAACUCUCACACACCCCUCCUGCCAUACACACUAGCCUUCACCAUAUUGUGAACUGAUUCUUUAUAAUGUAAUGUGUUUUUAACAAAAAUAAAAAUGAAAAACCUUUAGAGGUUAUGCGGUCCCUGCUCUAUACCCCUCUACGGUACAACUCAGCCAUGAUUCAGUGUAAGAUUAGGUGUGCUUCAACCCAUGGAUUUUCAUGGGUUAAGAAGCUAGUGUCCUCAACACAAGGAUCCCUCUGCAAACAAGUAAUUCUAAUGUCUUUCUCCCAGAUUUUCUGGCUUGAUUUUUUAUGAAAUCUGAUGUUCCGUAUCACAGAGUGACUCCAGAAUUAGUGUCAGGGUUUUACUGAUUCCCAUCAGUUCUUAACAAGAACAGGGAUCUAAAUCUCUUAAUGGGCUACAUAAAUCAUUCCAGCAACAACAAUGCAAAGAAUAAUUAGAAGAGCUCUCUGUGCAGCACCCUUGUGAAGUCAUUGUAACCUUUACUCUGUAUAAGCAUCACUCAGUAUAUUGCCAUUAGCAAAUCUGGGGGGGGGGGGAGUGCUCCUCGGCCCCUGGGAUUGGUGCCUGGCUGAUUGUCUCGCUUGGUCUUAGAAGAAAUGACCUCAAGCCUACUAAGGAGGAAUUGACUAGGAUACAAGUACAGAACCUGAGGACUGAUGGGAGUAUUCUGCUCAGGAGGCAUUUUAGCUGCCAUUAGCUCCCCGCAAAAAGGAGCUAUUAUUUAGAUGCUUGAGACAAAAUAACUCCAAUGGUGUUUCAGCUAAUACAUAAUUCUACUGACAACAGUAGUGCCAGAGCGGGAAAUGACCUACUGAGGUGAGGUUCUGAGAACCAGUCUGGUGCUUCUCUUAGUUCUCCAGUAUUCCUAAACAUAAGGAAAACGACAGUGGUAAAUGGAACUGGACAUACAAGCAGUAUAAAAUGGGCUGCCUUAUAUAUUGCAAGAUCCAUCUAGGGUUCUGCCAUUGGCAGAAGCUCUCUAGGGCCUCUGGCCAAGGUCUUCAGCAGCCCUGCCACUUGGAGGUGCCAAAGGUUUCAAGACAGAAUCUGGCAAGGCCCAGGCUGCCUCCUCUCUGACACUCGCUGCCUUUCUGAGCAAAUGUUUGGCAGCAACAUGCACAGAAAUAGCAAUGAGCAAACACAGGAAAGGUAGUUUCAUUUUAACCCUCCCUCACAUACAUGCACGGG